AGAGAGAAACUAAGAGAAGGACAAAAAGACAGGCGAGAGAAACAGACAAGAAAGGCACGGGGAGAAAGUGGCAACACAGACUCAGGCACCCGCAGGAGAAAAAGAGAGGUCAGGACACAUAAAAAGGAAGCCCCCCUCCCCGCACACACCCUCUAGUGGAUGCGAAGAAAGGGAAAAAAGGUGCGAAAUACAGGGAGAAGACAAGGAGAUUGAAGGAUGAAGGGACCAAGGCUCAGAGAGGUGACGUAACUUGCCCAAGGAGACCAACGGAGAACCUGCCACUUGUCUGCCUAGCUGCAAAGCCUUUGUCAUCAGUCUUCUUUCUAAGAGGCCCAAUAUGCCAGUGCUGGGAUUGCUCCCGUUAAUGAAACGUGGCAAGAGAGACACCGUGACUUCUGAGAUGUCGGAGCUGGCCAUGAUGUGUCUAUGUGCCGUGGCUCAUGGAACUCCUGCUGCAAAGUCUAGGGACCUGCAAGAGGCCACGUGCCAACGGAGAUGGUGGAAAGACAGACCUUCAGGGCUCAUCUGCAGUGACUUAGCCCCUCCCACAUAGCCCCACCUCCUUGUUCCAAUCACCUCCCAAUCUUGCAUUCAAAUGAGUCCUCCCUUGGAUUGACUUGUUGCUGAGGACUCAGCCCUUGUGACAAAACCCUUUCCUUAAAGCCUUUAACAGGAAUCCUCGGGAGACAUUUCAGAAGGAACUGGCAGUGGCCUGGGCCUAUGGACAAUGUCACCCUGCCUUUGUUCCCUGUCUUUUCUUCUAGGACAGAGGUGGGUCCUGCAGUCAAGCCCCAAGGAACUCUACCGUGGCAGAGAUGCCUGGCAAUUCUAACUUAGGCUGUGCCCUCAGAUAGCUAGAGCUGGGCAGUUAGGGCAAGGAGUCUUAAAACCAGUAUGAGUAGGAAGUGAAAACCCAGGGACACCCUCUGCUUGAGCAAACACCUCCACGUGGUUCACAGAGCUCCCAGGUUAUCUGAGCCAGUGCCUACAUUUAGCUCGGUGUUGGCUGGGAGGGGCAGAAGCCUGUGUGGGGAAGGGCUGAAUUUAGGAUAUGGGAGGAGCUGAGAAGGUUCAGGUAGCAGGAACAGGGUAGAAGGCAGCUCAGCGAACUAGACAGCAGAAGGGAGAGUCUGGAAUGCCCUGAAUAGAGGGAAGGGAUGGUGAGACCCCACUGGGCAUCCCUCGGAGGGGGGGCAGUCAGUUCUCCAUCUGGGGGUUUCCCAGACAGACUCCCAAAGGGUAGGGACAGAGCACCUGCUGGCCUGGCACUGCUUCCCCCUGCAGACAUAAAGCUCCCAUCCCCCUUCACUGAGACCCUCUUAGGGCACCUCCACCUGCACCCAAGCCUGGCCCUAGAGCUGGCUCUCGCAGGCACACCUGGCACUCUGGUGAGCCUGCUAGCAGCUCUGAUUUAAGACUCAGGCUGCUGCUCUCCAGGGCCUGCUCCUGAAUGCUACCAGCCAGGAUGUGGUGGUCUGAGGAGGACACAGGAAGUGAAAAAGACCCCCCUCCUCCAGUCUCUAGAGGCCUUUGGAACCCCAAAAAGUCCUUUCUCUAGCUAUUCUUGAGUGGGGGAUGUCAGUGACAGGGUGCUCACCGAUAACCUGACCCUCGGUCAGGAAGCAAGGAAGUUAAGGCUUCUUAACUGCUAGGCUUUGGAAUUCUAGAUAGAAAGAAGGACUGAGGGAUAUAGCUCAGUUAGUAGAGGCUCUGAAUUCAAUCCCUAGCACUUUAGACAUAGGACGUGGUGUUGCAUAGCUGUGAUCCCAGUGCAGAAGUUCAAGGCCAUCCUUGGCUACUUAGGGGAUUCUGGGCUAGCAUCGGCUAUAUGGCACCCUGUCUUUAAAAGAAGAGAGAGAGAAAUAUCCUCUCUCUAUUAUGGGAUACUUGCACACAAUGCAAAGGUGCAUUGCUGUGAUCAGUAUAAUAAAAAGCUGAACGGCCAAUAGCUAGGCAGGAGAGCUAGGUGGGGCUUUCUGACAGAGAGAGGAGGAUGCCAUUGAGAAUGAGUCAGACACACAGAAUGGGAGAGAGGUAAAAGCCACAUGGUGGAACAAACAUUAAUAUAUGUGGGUUAAUUUAAGCUAUUAGAGCUAGUUGAGACAAGUCUAAGCUAAAGAGGGAGAUUUCAUAAUUAAUAAGAAGUCUCUGGGUCAUUAUUUGGGAGCUGGUGGUUCAAAGGAAAACUUGCUACAUCUCUUCUUCUUGGCCCCUCUUUUCUCAUCUGUAUAAUGGGAGAACCAGCCUGGAUAAACUCAUGAUGAAGCCAGCCCACCUGGAUUUGACUCUCCAUUACUAGUAGCUGUUUCACCUACCUAAGUUACUUGGACUUUCAGGGUCUCAGUUCACCCAUCUAUAAAAUGAGGGAGCGUGCUGCAUGGUGGUUAGGACAAGGGCUGUGAGUGUGAACCCCAAGUGCUCCUGUUGAAGUCUAUGGAGAA
Myodes glareolus (Bank vole) is the source of this 2441-nucleotide non-coding RNA. NCBI's taxonomy places the organism in Eukaryota, Metazoa, Chordata, Mammalia, Rodentia, Cricetidae. The record is from RefSeq and is a predicted model, not a curated record.